AGAUGUGAGGGUGAUCUGGCUGUGACAUCUGUCACCCCAUUGAUCACCAAGGUUGAUUCAGCUGAUCUGGCUGGCUAGGUGAGUGUUUCCUUCCUCCUGCAAUGCUCCACAUGUGUCCCACCCAAAGCUGUGUGCUCAAAGAAGAUGACCACCCCUGAUAGGGGACCAUUCUUCUGUCGAGGGUGUACAAGUAGCUGCACUGCCCUGCUAGAACCUCUAAACAAGCUCUCCAGUUAUGAGGUCAUAGCGGUUUCUGCCCAGAUUUCUGAACAAGGCCUGGGAGAUGAGGCAAAAAUGUGUCACAAAGCCACAGUUCCUGCCAGGAGCCCAUGAGAAGAGAGCACAUGAGGCUGU
Unclassified non-coding RNA from Cavia porcellus (domestic guinea pig), 354 nucleotides. Its record names the gene 7SK. It matches the Rfam family "7SK RNA". From Rfam's summary of the family: 7SK was discovered as an abundant small nuclear RNA in the mid-70s but a possible function has only recently been suggested. The record is from Ensembl. Lineage: Eukaryota; Metazoa; Chordata; Mammalia; Rodentia; Caviidae.